Molecule: ribosomal RNA, 253 nt
Filed under: uncultured bacterium
Lineage: Bacteria
Description: partial 16S ribosomal RNA
Rfam family: Bacterial small subunit ribosomal RNA
Source: RNAcentral
UACGAACUGUGCAAACGUUAUUCGGAAUCACUGGGCUUACAGGGUGCGUAGGCGGCCAGACAAGUAGGGUGUGAAAGCCCCCGGCUUAACCGGGGAAUGGCGCCCUAAACUGUAUGGCUGGAGUGAGAUAGGGGUGUGCGGAACUUCCGGUGGAGCGGUGAAAUGUGUUGAUAUCGGAAGGAACGCCGGUGGCGAAAGCGGCACACUGGAUCUCGACUGACGCUGAGGCACGAAAGCCAGGGGAGCGAACGGG